Elaeis guineensis (African oil palm) is the source of this 2130-nucleotide non-coding RNA. The record is from RefSeq and is a predicted model, not a curated record. NCBI's taxonomy places the organism in Eukaryota, Viridiplantae, Streptophyta, Magnoliopsida, Arecales, Arecaceae.
AGCGUAGACCCCACUCGUUUGCCAUCAACUGUUGCCAGGACAGGCGAUGUCAACGGGGAUGUAUGCGAGCUUCGUCCUGUCACGAGAUAUCCGCGGUGCUUCCAAGUAGCAAGUAUUCGGUGGUGGAAUUCAGAACCCCAAACGACUUAACCAGAGAGAGAGGCUUGAAGAGCGAUGGACGGAGAAUCCGCGGCGACGGCGACGGCGCCGACGCGAUCGGACCAGUGGGGACACCCUGUGAGGACGACCUCCGACGCCUGCAUCGCCGCCGUUGACUCCUACUAUGAGGAGUUCCUCUCCUACGGCCGGAACCGGGCUGUCAUCCUCCAAGCCCUGCUCCACGAUCCCUCCUGUGUCCUCGCCAACGUCCUCGCCGCCCACUUCCUCGCCCCCAAGAACCCCUCCAAAGCUUCCUCCCUCCUCGCCGCUGCCGCUUCCUCCCUCGAGAAUGCCACUUCGUACGAGAAAGCGGUCUUCAGAGCGAUUUCUUGCUUGGUGGGAGACGAGAAGAAUGACGACACUGCCGUUGAGCGACAUAUGGAGUUGCUGAGGGAGUUCCCUAAAGAUCUGGUGUCACUUAAGAGGGCUCAGGUCCUAUGCUUCUACAUGGGUCGGGCUGAUUUAUCACUGAAUCUAGUUGAACAGGUACUGCCACAAAAUGAAGAUCAGAAUUACAUCUAUGGCAUGCUUGCUUUUCCAUUGUUAGAGCUUGGACAAAUGUCUGAAGCUGAGACGGCUGCAAGGAAAGGAUUUGACAUCAACAAGCAUGACUUGUGGUCACAACAUAAUCUAUGCCAUGUUUUUCAGUACAAAUGUUGUUUUAAAGAAGCUGUGGAUUUCAUGGAAGCUUGUUCUUCCUCAUGGAGUUCCUGUUCCUCAUUCAUGUGUACUCACAAUUGGUGGCAUGUUGCUGUUUGUUAUCUAGAAGGUGAUGCCCCACUGCCCAAAGUUCUAGAAGUUUAUGAUCACCAUAUCUGGAAGGAACUGGAACGAAGCGAUGCUGAGCCAGCAGAGGUAUAUCUGAAUGCUCUAGGCUUGUUGAUGCGGGUCUAUGUGCGGGACAACACAAGUUAUAUCGAGGAUAGGUUGUUGACACUAGCAGAUAGACUUGAGGAUAAGUCUAUAUGGCAUAUGGAGUGGUUGCUUGAUCUGUCAGCAUUGUGGGCCUUAGCUAGCACACACAAGGUGCAUAAAGCACAGGACUUACUCAAAUCCAUGAGGUCAAGGAUCUAUUCAGUGAGCAAAAAGAAACAACACAAGAUGCAAAGAGGGAUACUGCUUGCAGAAGCCAUUUACGAAUAUGGAAGGGGCAAUUAUCAGAAAGUAUUUGACAUUCUUGGUCCAAAAUUUAAUGCCAUUGACUUCAAAAUGAUUGGAGCAUCUGAUGAACAACUUGAUGUCUUCAAUGAAGUUUGGUUCGUUGUUUUGUUGAAAGUUGGACAAGCCUCCAAGGCAAUUGAAGAAAUUGAGAAACAAGUUAGCAUGAGGGAUGGGGCACCUUUCUUGUGGCGCUUGCUGGCGACGGCAUAUACCAUGGAGGGCAGACCAGAUGCUUCCGUUGCAGCUGAAAAGGCAAAGGCUCUAGAGCGCGCUUAUUUUAAAUAAACGGACUGGAAUGCCGUUUCCAAGUGGUGAAAGGGUCUGGCUCUUACCAACGUAUGGUUUAGUUUGCUGUGUCUGGUCAGAGGAGAAAACGGAAAGAGAAAUUUUUGUCCAUUGCCUUCGGUGGAGAAAAAGCAUACCACUUUAUCAGAUUUGACUACGCAGCACAAUAUGAGGUUCAGGUUUCCAGACUCCAUUAGGAGUGGAGCACGAAUAUGAUGAAAUAUCACCAUACUUUGACACUAUAGAGGAAGGUCGAGUCUAUGAAUCAAGUUCUGAGUUGUCGCUGAAGGAAACAGUGCAGCAGGAACACGUUUCAGAGAAUGAGCUAAAAAGAGCCGCAGCAUGUUUUACUCUUACCACUGUCGACAUGAACUGACAAGAGUGAAAUCCAUACUUUCAGUUUCAGAUAUUCUGGUUCAUUUGUUUUUUCUUUUUAUUGGAUGCACAACUUUCAUAUACUUUCUACUCUGAGUCAAGAAUCACUACUUGAAAUGUGAAUAAAAUAAGAACACUGGUAUUGACGUA